RNAcentral lists this long non-coding RNA (335 nucleotides) under Mytilus galloprovincialis (Mediterranean mussel). The record is from RNAcentral. Lineage: Eukaryota; Metazoa; Mollusca; Bivalvia; Mytilida; Mytilidae.
GUAUUCUUAUGUGUUUACUUUUCUACAUUGGUUAGAGGUAUAGGGGGAGGGUUGAGAUCUCACAAACAUGUUUAACCCCGCCGCAUUUUUGCGCCUGUCCCAAGUCAGGAGCCUCUGGCCUUUGUUAGUCUUGUAUUAUUUUAAUUUUAGUUUCUUGUGUACAAUUUGGAAAUUAGUAUGGCGUUCAUUAUUACUGGACUAGUAUAUAUUUGUUUAGGGGCCAGCUGAAGGACUCCUCCGGGUGCGGGAAUUUCUUGCUACAUUGAAGACCUGUUGGUGACCCUCUGCUGUUGUUUUUUAUUUGGUCGGGUUGUUGUCUCUUUGACACAUUCCCC